UCCUACAGCCAUACGACCCUGAAUGCGCCCGAUCUCGUCUGAUCUCGGAAGCUAAG
Non-coding RNA from Larimichthys crocea (large yellow croaker), 56 nucleotides. NCBI's taxonomy places the organism in Eukaryota, Metazoa, Chordata, Actinopteri, Sciaenidae. The record is from Rfam.